This 2013-nucleotide ribosomal RNA is filed under the name human gut metagenome. RNAcentral's name for it is "bacterial LSU rRNA". It matches the Rfam family "Bacterial large subunit ribosomal RNA", at positions 826 to 2925 of the family's 2925-position model. The record is from RNAcentral.
AUUCCAAUCGAACUCGGAGAUAGCUGGUUCUCCCCGAAAUAGCUUUAGGGCUAGCGUUGAUUUAGAUUACCGGAGGUAAAGCACUGAAUGGGCUAGGGGGCGAUAAGCUUACUGAACCCUAUCAAACUCUGAAUGCCGGCUAAUUGAUGAUCAGCAGUCAGACAGUGUGAGAUAAGUUUCAUUGUCAAAAGGGAAACAGCCCAGACCUACAGCUAAGGUCCCAAAUGUAUGCUAAGUGGAAAACGAUGUGGAGUUGCGAAAACAACCAGGAUGUUGGCUUAGAAGCAGCCAUUCAUUAAAAGAGUUCGUAAUAGAUCACUGGUCGAGUGACUCUGCGCGGAAAAUAUAACGGGGCUAAGUAUGCAACCGAAGCUUAGGAUGUCCGCAAGGGCGUGGUAGGGGAGCGUCGUGUACGGGGUGAAGUCGCAGCGGAAGCAGCGGUGGACUGUACAGGAGUGAGAAUGCCGGAAUGAGUAGCGAGAAUUAUGUGGGAAUCAUAAUGGCCGAAAAUCUAAGGUUUCUUGGGGAAGGUUCGUCCGCCCAAGGUAAGCCGGGAGCUAAGGCGAGGCCGCGAGGCGUAGUCGAUGCACAUACGGUAGAAAUUCCGUAGCCACCGAACUUUAAACCAGAAGGACACUUUCAGAUAGCGGGACCCAGCCGUUGGUAGAGCUGGGCGCAAGGGACCGAAAUAUAGUAGGGAAGUCCGCGAUGCUGGGAGGCGAGAAAAGCUCUGGUGUACACUAAGGUGCCCGUACCGCAAACCGACACAGGUAGAUGAGGAGAGAAUCCUAAGGCCAACGGGAGAAGGGUUGUUAAGGAACUCGGCAAAUUGACCCCGUAACUUCGGGAGAAGGGGUGCUCCAGAGAUGGAGCCGCAGAGAAUCGGCCCAAGCAACUGUUUACCAAAAACACAGGUUUGUGCUAAAUCGAAAGAUGACGUAUACGAGCUGACGCCUGCCCGGUGCUGGAAGGUUAAGAGGAGAUGUGCAAGCAUUGAAUCGAAGCCCCAGUGAACGGCGGCCGUAACUAUAACGGUCCUAAGGUAGCGAAAUUCCUUGUCAGGUAAGUUCUGACCCGCACGAAUGGCGUAAUGAUUUGGGCACUGUCUCAACAGCCCGCCCGGCGAAAUUGUAGUACUGGUGAAGAUGCCAGUUACCCGCAACUAGACGGAAAGACCCCAUGGAGCUUUACUGCAGUUUAAUACUGGGAAUCGGUAAUUCAUGUACAGGAUAGGUGGGAGACUGAGAAGCAUGGCCGUCAGGUCGUGUGGAGUCACCGGUGGGAUACCACUCUUGGAUUGCUGGUUUCCUAACCUGCGGCCCUGAAUCGGGUCGGGGGACACUGUUAGACGGGCAGUUUGACUGGGGCGGUCGCCUCCAAAAGAGUAACGGAGGCGCUCAAAGGUUCGUUCAGCACGGACGGAAAUCGUGCAUUGAGUGUAAACGCAUAAACGAGCCUAACUGCGAGACCGACGGGUCGAGCAGUAACGAAAGUUGGAGUUAGUGAUCCGGUGGUAUGUGAGUGGAAAUGCCAUCGCUCAACGGAUAAAAGUUACCCUGGGGAUAACAGGCUGAUCUCCCCCAAGAGUCCACAUCGACGGGGAGGUUUGGCACCUCGAUGUCGGCUCAUCGCAUCCUGGGGCUGUAUUCGGUCCCAAGGGUUUGGCUGUUCGCCAAUUAAAGCGGCACGCGAGCUGGGUUCAGAACGUCGUGAGACAGUUCGGUCCCUAUCUGUUGCGGGCGUAAGAGAUUUGAAGGGAGCUGUCCUUAGUACGAGAGGACCGGGAUGGACGUACCUCUGGUGCACCAGUUGUCCUGCCAAGGGCAUAGCUGGGUAGCUAUGUACGGACGAGAUAAACGCUGAAAGCAUCUAAGCGUGAAACUCUCCCUAAGAUGAGAUCUCUCAUCCAUUAUGGAGUAAGGGCCCAGAAAGACGAUCUGGUUGAUAGGCCGGAGGUGGAAGCGCGGUAACGUGUGCAGCUGACCGGUACUAAUAGCCCGAGGGCUUGACCUA